This is a long non-coding RNA of Eupeodes corollae, 1286 nucleotides long. RefSeq lists it as uncharacterized. The transcript is spliced from 4 exons. The record is from RefSeq and is a predicted model, not a curated record. Lineage: Eukaryota; Metazoa; Arthropoda; Insecta; Diptera; Syrphidae.
AAAGGAGGUGGUUAUUAUUAUUUGUAACUCAAAACAAAAUAUAUUUUUUAAUUUUUUUUUUAUUUUCAGAUUAUUAUGUACUUCAGUCGUAUCAAAGUGCUUCAUCGUUUAAAACAGGAAUAAAGCACAAUUAUUUCAAAUGAUGUUUCGCCUCUCACAAAUGGGAAUGGCAAGAGUAAAACAACGCUGUCGCCGUCGAAUGCUAUCAACCAGACUGCAAAUGGAAUUGUAUACAAUAAAGAGUAACAUAAACAACACUGAAACGGAAAAGCACCCACGGGAGCAGCAGUAUCAGGAAGAGGAGAAUUCUAUGAUGAUCCUAAUCGGAGCAAAUCUUCAUUCGAAAAGGUUCCUCUACACACAGCCUUCUAGUAUAUUUUGGCUUUUACCUGCUUAUGAUAUUGGGCUACAUCAAUCAAUUUAUGUGUGCCCCAAAAGUAGCUAAAGAAAAUAAUCGAGAGGGCUAUGUUACGCUAUACGAUACCUUCGAGAAUUCUAUUCACGGUAUGUCUAUCGGAAGGUCCGAGAUUGCUGGGAUUCCCUAAUUUGCAGUGUCCCUGGGGGAGAGGUAACUCUCAAAGAUCGCAUAACCAAGGAUUACGCAGAACAGACGGCUAGGCUUUAGGCAGUCCCCGUUGUGAAGUGUGUUGGAGUAUUCUAUUGUCCGAAGUUAUUGCAUUGAUGAAGAAAUACAAACCUUAUUUGUAUUUGUAUGAGACGCAUAGUGUGGUAGCGAUGAGAGCAAAUGGUCGCGGUAUUGUCGACUAUUAUGGCGCCGAUCCGAAAGAUGUUGAUAUUCUAAUGGGAAUAUUUAAAAAGAGCUUUGGCAGUGCUGGUGGUUAUAUUGCUGGAACAAAGAAACUAAUUGAUUGAAACAACUAGCUCGGAAUACACCAUAUUUCCGACGACGAUUGGCCCAAUUAGGUGCCAUUACCUAUGACCAUGAAGAUUCUUCUGUUGUACCGAUGCUGGUCUAUCUUUUAUCCAAAAUUGGAGCUGUAGGUCGUACACAAACUUUCCGUAAGGUAGCGGUUGUUGGAGUUGGGUUUCCUGCCACUCCAAUUAUGGAAGGACGUACAUAUACGCUUAAUAGCAGUUUGAUUAUGCCUUACAAGUGAUUGAUAAAACAAGUGAUUCAGUAAUCAGUUUGCCUAGAGUAUUCAUGUAAAGUAAGAGAUUCUAAUCCGAUUAUUUAUUAAGUUAAAAGGAAUAAAUAAAUAAUAAUAAAUAAAUGAAUAAGGUCAUUUUAUAAUUCUUUUAAUACGAAUUUCAUUUGUUUGAUGUAU